GUCCCGGGCGAUGGGACGGGCACGAAUCGGGUCAGGCCGGGAACGGAGCAGCCCUAAGAGCCGCUGUUUCAGGCGCAAGGCGCCCGGGCCCAA
This 93-nucleotide signal recognition particle RNA is filed under the name Planctomycetota bacterium. RNAcentral describes it as "signal recognition particle sRNA small type". It matches the Rfam family "Bacterial small signal recognition particle RNA". From Rfam's summary of the family: The signal recognition particle (SRP) is a universally conserved ribonucleoprotein involved in the co-translational targeting of proteins to membranes. Archaeal SRP consists of a 7S RNA and homologues of the eukaryotic SRP19 and SRP54 proteins. In most bacteria, the SRP consists of a 4.5S RNA and the Ffh protein (a homologue of the eukaryotic SRP54 protein). The record is from RNAcentral. Lineage: Bacteria; Pseudomonadati; Planctomycetota.